RNAcentral lists this ribosomal RNA (405 nucleotides) under uncultured bacterium. Its description in RNAcentral is "partial 16S ribosomal RNA". It matches the Rfam family "Bacterial small subunit ribosomal RNA", at positions 30 to 525 of the family's 1533-position model. The record is from RNAcentral.
AUUGAACGCUGGCGGCAUGCUUUACACAUGCAUGUCGGAUGAGUGGCGAACGGGUGAGUAAUAUAUCGGAACGUACCGAGUAAUGGGGGAUAACUAAUCGAAAGAUUAGCUAAUACUGCAUAUUAGUCGAGCGGCCGAUAGCUGAUUAGCUAGUUGGUGGGGUAAAGGCCUACCAAGGCGACGAUCAGUAGCGGGUCUGAGCGGAUGUGCUGGCACACUGGGACUGUGACGCGGGCCACACUCCUACGAGAGGCAGGAGUGGGGAAGUUUGGACAAUGGGCGCAAGCCUGUUCCAUCCAUGCCGCGUGUCUGAAGAAGGCCUUCGGGUUGGUGAGUAGUUUUGUCAUGGAAGCGGUACCUGAAGAAGAAGCACCGGCUAACUACGUGCCAGCAGCCGCGGUAAAC